This 400-nucleotide unclassified non-coding RNA is filed under the name soil metagenome. RNAcentral describes it as "partial contains 5.8S ribosomal RNA, internal transcribed spacer 2, and large subunit ribosomal RNA". The stretch from base 1 to 122 matches the Rfam family "5.8S ribosomal RNA", at positions 35 to 154 of the family's 154-position model. The record is from RNAcentral.
GAUGAAGAACGUAGCGAAAUGCGAUACUUGGUGUGAAUUGCAGAAUCCCGUGAACCAUCGAGUCUUUGAACGCAAGUUGCGCCUCAAGCCAUUAGGUUGAGGGCACGUCUGCCUGGGCGUCACAUAUCGUUGCCUGAUGCCAGUUUCCUCGUGAUGGGUGACUGUGCAGGGCGAAUGAUGGCUCCCCGUGAGCAUUGUUGCCUCAUGGUUGGUUGAAAAUUGAGUCCUUGGUAGGGAGCGCCGUGAUAGAUGGUGGUUGAGUGACGAACGAGACCCAAUCAUGUGAGACCCCUACCGAAUUUGGCCUUCAUGACCCACAUGCGUCUUUGGAACGCUCAUGACGAGACCUCAGGUCAGGCGGGGCUACCCGCUGAGUUUAAGCAUAUCAAUAAGCGGAGGA